AGAGUUUGAUCAUGGCUCAGAUUGAACGCUGGCGGCAUGCCUUACACAUGCAAGUCGAACGGCAGCACGGGAGCAAUCCUGGUGGCGAGUGGCGAACGGGUGAGUAAUACAUCGGAACGUGUCCUGUAGUGGGGGAUAGCCCGGCGAAAGCCGGAUUAAUACCGCAUACGAUCUGUGGAUGAAAGCGGGGGAUCUUCGGACCUCGCGCUACAGGGGCGGCCGAUGGCAGAUUAGCUAGUUGGUGGGGUAAAGGCCUACCAAGGCGACGAUCUGUAGCUGGUCUGAGAGGACGACCAGCCACACUGGGACUGAGACACGGCCCAGACUCCUACGGGAGGCAGCAGUGGGGAAUUUUGGACAAUGGGCGAAAGCCUGAUCCAGCAAUGCCGCGUGUGUGAAGAAGGCCUUCGGGUUGUAAAGCACUUUUGUCCGGAAAGAAAACCUCGUGGUUAAUACCCGUGGGGGAUGACGGUACCGGAAGAAUAAGCACCGGCUAACUACGUGCCAGCAGCCGCGGUAAUACGUAGGGUGCAAGCGUUAAUCGGAAUUACUGGGCGUAAAGCGUGCGCAGGCGGUUCGCUAAGACAGAUGUGAAAUCCCCGGGCUUAACCUGGGAACUGCAUUUGUGACUGGCGGGCUAGAGUAUGGCAGAGGGGGGUAGAAUUCCACGUAGCAGUGAAAUGCGUAGAGAUGUGGAGGAAUACCGAUGGCGAAGGCAGCCCCCUGGGCCAAUACUGACGCUCAUGCACGAAAGCGUGGGGAGCAAACAGGAUUAGAUACCCCUGUAGUCC
This 791-nucleotide ribosomal RNA is filed under the name uncultured bacterium. Its description in RNAcentral is "bacterial SSU rRNA". It matches the Rfam family "Bacterial small subunit ribosomal RNA", at positions 8 to 796 of the family's 1533-position model. The record is from RNAcentral.